CCUACGGGUGGCUGCAGUAAGGAAUAUUGGUCAAUGGACGCAAGUCUGAACCAGCCAUGCCGCGUGGAGGAUGAAGGCCCUCUGGGUUGUAAACUUCUUUUAUGGGGGACGAAACCCCGGAUUUUUAUCCGGCCUGACGGUACCCCAGGAAUAAGCACCGGCUAACUCCGUGCCAGCAGCCGCGGUAAUACGGAGGGUGCAAGCGUUAUCCGGAUUCACUGGGUUUAAAGGGUGCGUAGGCGGGUUUGUAAGUCAGUGGUGAAAUCCCGAAGCUU
This 275-nucleotide ribosomal RNA is filed under the name uncultured bacterium. Its description in RNAcentral is "partial 16S ribosomal RNA". It matches the Rfam family "Bacterial small subunit ribosomal RNA", at positions 338 to 610 of the family's 1533-position model. The record is from RNAcentral.